Molecule: unclassified non-coding RNA, 414 nt
Filed under: Hevea brasiliensis (rubber tree)
Lineage: Eukaryota; Viridiplantae; Streptophyta; Magnoliopsida; Malpighiales; Euphorbiaceae
Source: RNAcentral
GGGGGGUUGUUCUGCUUUAAGUGAAAACAGCUAUGUAAAGUGUGUCAUUAAGAAGAGAUUACAACUUGCCCAAAUUGCAGCCCAGAGACUUAAACUUGCAGUCUAGAAUGCAAAUUAAGUGCAGUGAUAGCAUCAAACUAUAGUUGAAAUCUAAGAAAAUUGUGGUACCAGUCUUAUCAAAUUGCAAUUUAAACUGCCAGAUUGAUUGCUACUAAAUGCAUGGAAUAACAAUUACGCGCAAUUCCCAAGAAGAAAAUAUCAAGAACCUUUACAUAUUAUAAUUUGUAAACCCAUAAAGGCUUUUUGUAUGUGAAAAGCUUGAGUCAUCAUAAACUUCUUAAUUUAAGUAAGACACUACCCAAAUACCUCUUUCUGUGAUAAUUCCUGCAAUUGAUUUCUGCUCUCCAGGUUUAA